GUAAGCAUAGUUUAACUUAAAACAUUAGAUUGUGAUUCUAAAAAUGGAAGUUAAAAUCCUCCUACUCACC
This 70-nucleotide transfer RNA is filed under the name Formosania galericula. Its description in RNAcentral is "tRNA-His". It matches the Rfam family "tRNA". From Rfam's summary of the family: Transfer RNA (tRNA) molecules are approximately 80 nucleotides in length. RNAcentral also lists the same sequence under 1 other name. The record is from RNAcentral. Lineage: Eukaryota; Metazoa; Chordata; Actinopteri; Cypriniformes; Gastromyzontidae.